Molecule: transfer RNA, 77 nt
Filed under: Acidimicrobiaceae bacterium
Lineage: Bacteria; Bacillati; Actinomycetota; Acidimicrobiia; Acidimicrobiales; Acidimicrobiaceae
Description: tRNA-Arg
Rfam family: tRNA
About the family: Transfer RNA (tRNA) molecules are approximately 80 nucleotides in length.
Source: RNAcentral
GCGCUCGUAGCUCAAUUGGAUAGAGCAUCUGAUUACGGAUCAGAAGGUUGGGGGUUCGAGUCCCUCCGAGCGCGCUA